AACGAACGCUGGCAGCAGGCUUAACACAUGCAAGUCGAACGAUGUAGCAAUACAUAGUGGCGCACGGGUGAGUAACGCGUGGGAAUAUACCUUAUAGUGGGGAAUAACUUUGGGAAACUAAAGCUAAUACCGCAUACGCCCGAGAGGGGAAAGAUUUAUCGCUAUAAGAUUAGCCCGCGUGAGAUUAGGUAGUUGGUGGGGUAAUGGCCUACCAAGCCUACGAUCUCUAGCUGGUCUGAGAGGAUGAUCAGCCACACUGGAACUGAGACACGGUCCAGACUCCUACGGGAGGCAGCAGUGGGGAGUAUUGGGCAAUGGAGGAAACUCUGACCCAGCCAUGCCGCGUGAAUGAUGAAGGCCUUAGGGUUGUAAAGUUCUUUCGCCGAUGAAGAUAAUGACGGUAGUCGGAGAAGAAGCCCCGGCUAACUUCGUGCCAGCCGCCGCAGUAA
RNAcentral lists this ribosomal RNA (449 nucleotides) under uncultured bacterium. Its description in RNAcentral is "partial 16S ribosomal RNA". It matches the Rfam family "Bacterial small subunit ribosomal RNA", at positions 29 to 523 of the family's 1533-position model. The record is from RNAcentral.